GGUCUUCAGAAGCUUGCUUCUAUCGAACCGUUUUAGAAACAUCAGUGGCCAACGAUCGUCAGGAUUGUUGAGCUGCAUUGGCGGGAUUUCGCCGUCUUCGUUUCUCUUUCUUCGCGGACGAACACGCGCUGGGGCUGCAAGCUUGCAGAAUCCCUGGUCCUUGACUGGAUAUGCGUUAGGGGCUUGUAGCUCAGUUGGUUAGAGCGCGCGCUUGAUAAGCGUGAGGUCGGAAGUUCAAGUCUUCCCAGGCCCACCACACUCAUCGAGUGAGCAUUCGUCUUCUGGUUACGGGGCCAUAGCUCAGCUGGGAGAGCGCGUGCUUUGCAAGCAUGAGGUCGUCGGUUCGAUCCCGUCUGGCUCCACCAGAUGGUUUGAUCAUCGACUGAUCGUGCACCUAAAUCGUCCGCGAAACAUCACUUCGCACUUACUAGUCCGGAUGGACAGUAAGCUGCGUGAUUUCUGACAUCGUAAAGAGGAGAUCGAUCCGAGUUGGAUCGGGCAACAAGCAAUUGUUGCGCGAUACUUCAUUAUCUCCGGAUCAUUUCGGCGCUCGUGCGCCUUUCAAUGUAGCUCACAAGGCUGCGUCUGAGAGGAAUGCGAGUUGUAAAUGAUCCUUUUAGCGAAGCUUGACCGCCUCGCUAUCGGAACGAUCUUACGAAGCAAGCUGGUCUUUCUAAUCAUUGUCCGGCUGCAGAUAGCGUUCAUCGAGGGCGCGUGCCGCAAGGUAAUUCUGCAGACAACAUUCUGCCGAGUGUGUGGACAUUGAUAAUGAGAGCAAUCAAGUGCCUUAAGGGUGUUCGGUGAUGCCUG
RNAcentral lists this transfer RNA (810 nucleotides) under Bradyrhizobium japonicum. RNAcentral's name for it is "partial 16S-23S ribosomal RNA intergenic spacer". The stretch from base 180 to 253 matches the Rfam family "tRNA". Lineage: Bacteria; Pseudomonadati; Pseudomonadota; Alphaproteobacteria; Hyphomicrobiales; Nitrobacteraceae. The record is from RNAcentral.